GUCAGAGAGAGCCUUCUCUUGCCGGAAAUUGCCGGCUGUUCGUGCGGUUCGAGGACAAUGCUCAA
This 65-nucleotide small RNA is filed under the name Sinorhizobium meliloti 2011. Its description in RNAcentral is "putative ncRNA". The record is from RNAcentral. Lineage: Bacteria; Pseudomonadati; Pseudomonadota; Alphaproteobacteria; Hyphomicrobiales; Rhizobiaceae.